AAACUUUACACUGCGGGAAACCGCGAUAAGGGGACCCCGAGUGCCAGCACCUAGUGUUGGCUGUCCUACUGUCUAAAUAACAGUGGUUAGCAAGGGCCGGGCAAGACCGGUGCCAGCCGCCGCGGUAACACCGGCGGCCCGAGUGGUAACCGUCUUUAUUGGGUUUAAAGGGUCCGUAGCCGGCUUAAGUCUUUUGGGAAAUCUGGCGGCUCAAUCGUCAGGCGUCCAAGAGAUACUGGUAGGCUUGGGACCGGGAGAGGUGGGAGGUACUCCA
Molecule: ribosomal RNA, 274 nt
Filed under: uncultured archaeon
Lineage: Archaea
Description: partial 16S ribosomal RNA
Rfam family: Archaeal small subunit ribosomal RNA
Source: RNAcentral